This 3072-nucleotide long non-coding RNA is filed under the name Sus scrofa (pig). Its description in RNAcentral is "lncRNA (ENSSSCG00000060270.1)". Lineage: Eukaryota; Metazoa; Chordata; Mammalia; Artiodactyla; Suidae. The record is from RNAcentral.
UUUCCCCUUAGCUAUUAAAUAAAAGGCAUAUUUUCUAGUUUGACAUUCAGGGAUCAUUAAUUUAAAAAGUAUACACAUGAUUUACCAUCAAGCACUAUAAAAUAUAAUUUAAUAUUUAUUAACCUAAUACUAUGCUAAUACAUAAUAAUACAUUUUGAAGAGUGAUAGUGUCACAAGAAAAGCAUAUUACACAAAGAUCAAAAGCAUGGUUCUUUAACAAAACACAGAAGAAUAUAAAUCCUAACUCUAGAAAUUAGCUGAGUGAUACUCAGUUUUGUGCUGAUAAAGUUGCUCUCUGAAAAGAGCGCACUCUCACUUGUAGCAUUUGCCAAUUUCUGUGGUGUAAAUACUCCCACCAUGGCCAUUGAAAAGCUACCAAUACUUAUCAGACACAACUUAGAAUAGAUUUACAAGGAGAUCCUGCUGAAUAGCAUUGAGAACUUUGUCUAGAUACUCAUGUUGAAACAGAAGAAAGGGUGGGGGAAAAAAUGUAAUUGUAAUGUAUACAUGUAAGGAUAACCUGACCCCCUUGCUGUACAGUGGGAAAAUAAAAAAAAAUUAUUAAAAAAAUAAAGAAAGAAAGAAAAGCUACCAAUAGCUUAACAACUUUCUCAUAAAAUUUAACAACUCUUAUAAGCUGCUACAAGCUCAUUGAAGCACAUCACCAAUCUGGGUGAAUAUUCUUAGGAUAACAUUUGCCAAUUUUUUCUUCUUAAUAUUUAAUCUUCUUAUUUGUAAAAUGGGCCUAAUAAUUCCUGUAUUAUAGUGUUGUCCUGUGGUUUAAAUGAGAUAUUAUAUUACAAAUUACUUUUCUCUACCACUGUGUUCUAUAAAUAGAACAACAAAACCUGGAUGAAUAUGGUUAUUGAAUACUUUAAUCCUAUUGUUGAGAUUAGCUACUUAGAAAAAAAAGAUUCCUUUAUAAAUAUUACUACUCUUGGACAACACACUCAAGAACUCUGAUGGAGAUAUACAAUGGUAUUUCAUGUCUACCAACACAACAUCUAUUCUACAGCCCAUGGAUGAAGUAAUUUUGACUUUUAAAGUCUUAUUAUUUAAGAAAUGUUUUGUAAGGCUAUGGCUUCCAUAGACAGUGAUUCCUCUGAUGGAUCUGAGCAAGUAAAUUGAAAACCUUUUGGAAAGGAUUCACAAUUUUAAAUAACAUUAACAGAAAUUUGAAAGUUGAUUCUAAUAUUCAUGAAUGACAUUUAGGGGUUCAGUGGAGGAAGUAACUGGUGAUGUGGUGGAAAUAACAAGAGAACUAGAAUUAGAAGUGGCGCCCCCAAUGUGACUACAUUGCUGCAAUCUCAUGAUAAAACUACUACAGGAAUCUACUUCUGGUGAAGAUGAUGGAAACUUAUUGAUAUGACAAUAAAAGAUAUAGAAAUUACAUAAAUGUAACUGAUAAAACAGCAUCAGGGUUAGAGAGGAUUGACUAAUUUUGAAAGACGUUCUACUAUGAGUAAAAUUAUAUCAACCAUUUUUGCAUGCUACAGAUAAAUUGUUCAUGAAAGGAAGAAUCAGUUGAUGCAGCAAAUCUCAUUAUUGUCUUAUUUUAAGAAAUUGCCACAGCCACCCCAACCUGCAGCAACCACCACCCUUAUCAAUCAGCAGCCAUCAACAAUAAGGAAAGACCCUUCACUAAUAAAAUGAUUACAGUUCACUGAAGGUUUAGAUGAUGGUUAGCAUAUUUUAGCAAAUAAAGUUUUUAAUUAAGGUAUAUGCAUCGUUUUGUUAUACAUAAUGCUAUUGCAUACUUACUAGACUAUGGAAAUAUAGUGUAAGCAAUACCUUUUUUUUUUUUCUUUUUAUAGAUGCACCUGCAGAAUAUGGAAGUUGCACCACAGGGGUCACAUUGGAGCUGCAUCUGUGGCCUGUGCCACAGCCCCUACAGAAUCUGAGCUGCAUCUGCAACCUACACUGCAGCUUGUGGAAACACCAGAUCCUUAACCCACUGAGCAACGCAGGGAUCAAACCCACAUUCUGAGAGACAACAUCAGGUCCUUAACCUGUUGAGCCAUAGCAGGAACUCCAAGAAUAAAUUUUAUAUGUGCUGAGAAACAGUCUUAUAUAUGACACACUAUAUUGCAACACUCUUUUUAUUACAGUGCUUGAAAAUCAAACCCACAAUAGCUCCAAGUUAUCCGUACAGUGUAAUUGAGAACAUAAUCCAGGAAUGACUUCAAAUUUGACUUUCUAACUCUGACUUAAAUAUUAAUAACUUUAUUUUUGCCCCUUAACUUCUAGUAUUUCCUCUAGCUUCUUACAUUGCAGUAUCUUAAUUUUCAAAAGAGAAAAAUUGUGUUUUCAAAUAUUUCUUUUCUGUUUUUCUUAAGUGAAAGCAUUUUUCUAUUUGUAUUAUAUCUCAAGCAAGACCCACCGCCAUAGGGUGCAAUCAAGAGCAAAGGUACAGAGCAAACUAACGGGCCUGCAAGGCAAAGAGCUUGUAACCUUGGCCUCAUUAGCAGUAAACUCCCCUAAGCAAGUUAUUGGGUCAGGACAAACUGAUGCCAUGUAAGACAAGAUAAUGGGUUGCUACUCCAAUAUUCAAAUAAUUAUUUUGUGUAAGUUUCAGACAACACCCAAUGUCAUUAAUCUUGGACAGUUUUCCAAGUGUAUACAUGAUUACAUCUACCAUGUUUACUAGAGAGAAGAUUAUUAUAGGAAUACCAAAGAUCUUUGAUUCAAAACAUUUUUGAAGGUAAAACUGUAAUAGCAUUGAUAGCAUUGAUUGUAUUUAUAACUUUAAUUUCUCAUUAUUAAUUGAAUAGUAUUAUUACAUAAUAUCUUUUAAGGAUAAAUAACUUUGACAAAAUAACAGAAAAUAUUUCAAAAAUUAGAACUGCUUAAACUGCAUUUUUAUAUGAAGAGUAAGUAUUUUCUUUAGUGUUUUUAAAUUUUAAACUGCUUCAUACUUAACAUAGUAGUACAAAGAAUAAUAUAUUUAAAGUAUUGGUGAUUAUACAGAUUAAGAAGGAAACUGAAAAUAUUAUUCAUUCAUUCAUUUAUUCAACAUAUUCGGAAACUUUCUUUUUGCCAGAUUCUGUUUAAGGAACUGGGGAUGUGUCAGGG